Paramormyrops kingsleyae is the source of this 1753-nucleotide long non-coding RNA. RefSeq lists it as uncharacterized. The record is from RefSeq and is a predicted model, not a curated record. NCBI's taxonomy places the organism in Eukaryota, Metazoa, Chordata, Actinopteri, Osteoglossiformes, Mormyridae.
UGUACAGCGGUUUGUUCAAAUUUAAGUAGUGCACUUAACACAGGCAUAAUACAGACAUAUACAUACAUCUAUACAUAUAGUAGGCUUAUAUAACAUAUAUCACGUGCAGUGUGCAAAUAAAGCAUCAAGGGUCUGUGCUGAUGAGAAUGGAAACAUUGAAACGGGUGCAAAUGUUACAUAGUUGAUUAAUUACAAGCAGGGGGAACUAUUGAGGUCUCUGAUGGCACUGGGGAAGAAGUUUCUUGAAGCGUCUUUUUUAUGUGGUUAUCGAUCUUAGUCAUCUAACACAGGGAAGCUGCAGGAACAGUUAAAGCACGGGUGCAUGACUGUGUGUCCCCAACACAAUCUGCUCUUGGAUCAUUGAUUCCUGUUGAUCCUUUCAUCUCCUCUCUGUCCAGGCAGUAUGAGUCGCAAAACCCCAUCAGACAUUAUGCAAGUGAGUUUCCUCCUGGGAUCAAAAAUGCAGAAGCAGAUCAGUCCAUGCCAUCUUUGGCUGGGAUACUCAAACUGGGGUCACCGCUGUGUUGAUGAGAAAAUGCAAAGGUUAUCAAACAGAUACAGAAGGGAGGAAAAGGGACUCUGAGAGCUGCAGUAGAAACAUACCAGAGGGGGAGAAUGAGAAGAAAAGAUAAGGAACACACAAGAGACCCUCUCCCCACAUCUGACAGCCUGAUGAUGAUGAAAAUGCUGAAAAACUAACCUUGGAAAUAAUGUCACAUUUUUUGAGGACAGGCCUCAUUUAGUUAAGUCAUUAAUUGUAGAAGAAUAAACAGCCUCCUCUGCCCUGCCCUAGCUCAAGGGUGAGGCCCACCCUGUCAGCCCUCCUCUGAGUGGCCGCUCUUGAGAGGGUCUGAUGUCUCUUGGCUCUUACACUUGCCGUCUGGUUGUGAGUGAGGUCAGAGUCACCGCGGCUGGCAGCCGGCACUGUAGGUAUGAGGGUGAAAGGUGACAAGUCUGAGGAACCAGAGCCUCCGCCCACUUCUGUCCAGAAGUUUCGGUCCUGACCAUGCAUAUGGUGCAGAAUUUAAAUCGCUUUUCAGCUCUCCAAAGGGCCACUACACUACAUUCUGCUGCCCUAGGAAUUUGAUGGAAAACUGACAUUUUGUAUAUGAUGUAAAUGCAGAUGCUGUGUGUGAUGCUGCAGAUCAAUGCCUGUCUUGCUUGGUAUGCAGCAUGGUCUCCUCUGCAUGAGUGCCCUAGCUGGCACCCGACUGGGGGCUUGGGUUCCGGAUAGAUCAGACAGGAAAAAAUUAAAGCCCCUGUUAAGUAUUUCAUCAUUUUUUCACCAAACAGAUUCUUUAAUGUCAUGCAAGCAUUCUUUUCCAACUAUGUUAAUUUUGCUAUUCAGUGUAGUGCAAGGUAAUCUGUUUUGCAAUGUUAAUCCAUUCAGUUUCUGUAGCUGCUUCUGUCCAGAGUGUGCAGGUGUGGCCUCUAAUCGACUGGCAUUCUCUGCAAAGAGCAGUCUGCCUGGAUCCUGUGUCUCCUGGAUGGGCUCUGUCCUGAAUGCGGGACUGAUGGAUGGAUGGAUGGAAUGGCUGCCAUGCUUAAAUAACCUUUAAACUGUUGAAUCUGGGGGUUAUUCAAUGAUUUACAUUUAUUUAUUCAUUUAUUUAUAUACCUAUAGUAGGGAAGGGUCACAGUUUACAUGUACUCCCUGCAAUGCUCCACUUGCUGAGCUUUAGGAGCUGGACAGGCUGUUAUAAAAAGUCUUAUAGGAAGAUCUUAUAACAAAUAAAAUGCUUUUUUCUUUUAA